GAGUGAACGCUGGCGGUAGGCCUAACACAUGCAAGUCGAACGGCAGCACAGAGGAGCUUGCUCCUUGGGUGGCGAGUGGCGGACGGGUGAGGAAUACAUCGGAAUCUACUUUUUCGUGGGGGAUAACGUAGGGAAACUUACGCUAAUACCGCAUACGACCUACGGGUGAAAGCAGGGGACCUUCGGGCCUUGCGCGAUUGAAUGAGCCGAUGUCGGAUUAGCUAGUUGGCGGGGUAAAGGCCCACCAAGGCGACGAUCCGUAGCUGGUCUGAGAGGAUGAUCAGCCACACUGGAACUGAGACACGGUCCAGACUCCUACGGGAGGCAGCAGUGGGGAAUAUUGGACAAUGGGCGCAAGCCUGAUCCAGCCAUACCGCGUGGGUGAAGAAGGCCUUCGGGUUGUAAAGCCCUUUUGUUGGGAAAGAAAUCCAGCCGGCUAAUACCUGGUUGGGAUGACGUACCCAAAGAAUAAGC
Molecule: ribosomal RNA, 474 nt
Filed under: Stenotrophomonas sp. C2-1
Lineage: Bacteria; Pseudomonadati; Pseudomonadota; Gammaproteobacteria; Lysobacterales; Lysobacteraceae
Description: bacterial SSU rRNA
Rfam family: Bacterial small subunit ribosomal RNA
Source: RNAcentral